CAGGCGUCCAGGCGGAGUCUAGGCAGCGGUGGCGAAGCCCACCCUGUUGUUGCCCAUGUCGUAGACGGAAUAGUAGGACCUGAGGAAGACGUCCCCAAGGAUCCACAGGGGCUGGCCGUUCUGGGAGGGCAGCCUCUUUCCAGAGAAGGGAGUUUGGAAUCAAUGAGUGGAGAAAAUAAAUCAAUACUUGAAGAAGUUGGGAAAUGUCACAAGGAGAAACCAUAGAUGCCUCCUGGCUGGCCCCUCCUAGGCAAGGGGCACCUCCACCAGACCCACCUGUCCGUACUGGUCCUCCUGGGCCCCCGUGGCCUGCAGAAGGGCACUCAUGUACUGCUGGGGCACGGUGAGCAGAGAUGUGCCUGUGUCCACGAUGGCCUGGCAGCCCUGGGAGCACCAGCCUGAGGCCUGGCCGCCAAUGAGGAACCUGAAUGGAGAGAUGAACUGUUCAGCACCUCCAGCUCAGGGGAUCUCCUCUGAGAGACUAAAAGCUACGGCCACAGAAGCAAGGUACACCUCAGAAAGGACCCUGUAUUCUCCAGAAAUGCUCUGCUAAACCCAUUCGCAUUGAGCUAUGAAGACUGAGAGCUUCUCCAACCACCGUUACAGAGUUUGUACGUUAACAGAAGUUUCUAAGAGGAGCCAUCUCUCCACCAACGGAAUCACUCACAUGGUGGAAUAGCAGCAGCCCCUGCCCCUGAUGUCCUGGGAGCCGUGCCACUCACUCCCUUUCUCCUGACACCUCAGCCUACAGAAAUUACAUUACGGAUGUUUCUGCUUAGGAGCUGGAGGCAGAGCAAGACCACCACCAUCCACUUCAUGAUGCUGAUUCC
This is a long non-coding RNA of Rhinolophus ferrumequinum (greater horseshoe bat), 830 nucleotides long. RefSeq lists it as uncharacterized. The transcript is spliced from 5 exons. The record is from RefSeq and is a predicted model, not a curated record. NCBI's taxonomy places the organism in Eukaryota, Metazoa, Chordata, Mammalia, Chiroptera, Rhinolophidae.